RNAcentral lists this small RNA (348 nucleotides) under Arabidopsis thaliana (thale cress). RNAcentral's name for it is "ATSL280460". The record is from RNAcentral. Lineage: Eukaryota; Viridiplantae; Streptophyta; Magnoliopsida; Brassicales; Brassicaceae.
AAAAAUAAAUAAAAAGUAUUUUUCUUCUAGAGAAUAUAUUUUUUGAGUCUAAAUUGGGUUAAAAUAGAGUCGAAAUCGAAUAAGUUCGGUUAAAUUUUGGUUAAGUCAAACCGGAUAUAUAAUUUUUGGUUAACUGGUCGGUUCAAUUGGAGGUGUAGUUUUAAAAACAAAUCUGAAAGUACAUGUAGUUUUAUCGAGAUUAAAAUUGUUUAUGGUGGUUUUUCAAGUGGCUAAAAGUUUAGGGUGGAAAGUUGAGACUGUCACCUAAAGUUCAUGAAACUGUCAAAUCCUUACUUGCCGGAUUUAGUAGACCGAAAAUACUCUAAGCCAAGUUACUUCAUCGAAGAU